RNAcentral lists this ribosomal RNA (605 nucleotides) under uncultured beta proteobacterium. RNAcentral's name for it is "bacterial SSU rRNA". It matches the Rfam family "Bacterial small subunit ribosomal RNA", at positions 14 to 866 of the family's 1533-position model. Lineage: Bacteria; Pseudomonadati; Pseudomonadota; Betaproteobacteria. The record is from RNAcentral.
UGAUCAUGGCUCAGAUUGAACGCUGGCGGCAUGCCUUACACAUGCAAGUCGAACGGUAACAGGUCUUCGGAUGCUGACGAGUGGCGAACGGGUGAGUAAUACAUCGGAACGUGCCCGAUCGUGGGGGAUAACGGAUCGAAAGCUUUGCUAAUACCGCAUACGAUCUACGGAUGAAAGCAGGGGACCUCAAGGCCUUGCGCGGACGGAGCGGCCGAUGUCAGAUUAGGUAGUUGGUGGGAUAAAAGCUUACCAAGCCNACGAUCUGUAGCUGGUCUGAGAGGACAUCGGAAUUACUGGGCGUAAAGCGUGCGCAGGCGGUUAUAUAAGACAGAUGUGAAAUCCCCGGGCUCAACCUGGGAACUGCAUUUGUGACUGUAUAGCUAGAGUACGGCAGAGGGGGAUGGAAUUCCGCGUGUAGCAGUGAAAUGCGUAGAUAUGCGGAGGAACACCGAUGGCGAAGGCAAUCCCCUGGGCCUGUACUGACGCUCAUGCACGAAAGCGUGGGGAGCAAACAGGAUUAGAUACCCUGGUAGUCCACGCCCUAAACGAUGUCAACUGGUUGUUGGGAAUUCACUUUCUCAGUAACGAAGCUAACGCGUGAAGUU